AAGGAAUCAAGGGGUAGAUUUUGGAACCACUAGCUCCAUAGCCAAAGAAGGAGCAAUCCAGCAACUUAGGCAUUGAUUCCGCAAGCCGUCCCAGAGCCUCUGUGUAGUCCUUACUUUCCCUAAAUUGCCAUGACUAGCUGGCUCAAGUUAGGCCUUUCUAAUUUACCUGGACCGUUGCUCUCUCCUGUGCAUGGCUGCGGGGAUGAGCACCUUGUUGUGCGUUCCUCCGCUGGGCUGACGGAAAUGGUUUGCAGCCAGACUGCUACGGCACGCGGUCUGGCAUUUAGUCCUCAGAAAUCUGAUUUAGAGAACGUAUACAUUGCAUCACAAUCUAGAUUUCAGAGGAAAGUUUUGGAUAGAAUAACCCAGACCCAAGACUGGGUAAUUUAAAGCCUGGGCGAAAUGGGGCAGAAAGAGCCCAGAAUAUACAGGUCUGAAUCUUGGCUGCGGUGAUGUGGAAGACUGGAGGCGCCAGACGGCUGGCCUCCCUCCAAGUGUUUACCAUGCUGGUGCCAUAGGGCUGGGGCUGGGCAGCCCAUGUGCUCAUUCUUCCCUUCUCUUCUCCUCCUCCUCCCCCUCCAUCUCUCCCCCUCCUCCUCAUGUUUUCUAUAGGCUAGAGAAACUCAGGAACUACUGACCCACAGGGAAGGCAAGCGGAGAUAUGAGACAGAGGAAUCAAACGCUGCCCUGGUGGAGGACGCUGUGGGUUUACAGUGGAUGAUUUCCUCUGCCUAUGAGAUAAAAGGGCUGGCUCUGUACUUUGAACCCCAGCCUCACCCACCUCUGCCUGGGUGUGGCUCUUACUCUCUGGAAGACUUACUCAGGGGAGAGGACAGGACAGUGUGAGGCUUGAAUCUCCAGGAAAUAGAGUCUGUGGGCAGCCAUUGACUCCGAGUCAAUGAGAACAAGGUGUGCUGUUUCCUCUGUGCUGUUUCUUCCCUGCCCCACUCCCCGCCCCUUUGUCCUAUGGUGCCCAGGCUGCCUGCACUGCCCAGAUACCACAGGCCUUGCCAGGGACCUCCUGAGAGGUUUCUGAGGCUUGCAGCCAGUGGUCCCGUUAGUCUGCACGUCUCCGAGUUCCCCUCCCAGAGGAGAAAGCAUAUGCUGCUGGGACCGACUGCAGCUCCUCAUGGAUGCACCUGCCACCGGAAAAUUGUUGUUCAGUCUGGGAUUGCUUUCUCUUCCCAAAGCACAAUCUCACAUGCAGUCAUGAGCCCAGUCCAGCCUCUGGGACAGAAGAUUUCGUGCUUUUAUAAACCAACAGCACUGCAGGUGCUGCACAAGGAAUGGAAAAUCAAUCUGAGUGUCAUUAAGAGCAUAUUCCCUGAAGAAGAUUGCUGAUGACAGUGGAUUUGUCACCCAGCUCAGUGUCUUUUCCUGAGCAAUAGGAAUUUCUUCCAUGGGGAAUGAAACCUAGUGUUGUUUCCCUGUCUGAAUCCAGGCCUUUCACUGACCUGCCAAGUUUUCAUUCCAUUGUCUCACUGUCAUUGGCUCAUGUGAUCUCUACAUUGAUUAAUUAGUUUCAAGCCCCUUCAUAUUGAUCUAAUAAAAUUGACUUGUUUAA
This is a long non-coding RNA of Pan troglodytes (chimpanzee), 1564 nucleotides long. RefSeq lists it as uncharacterized. NCBI's taxonomy places the organism in Eukaryota, Metazoa, Chordata, Mammalia, Primates, Hominidae. The record is from RefSeq and is a predicted model, not a curated record. The transcript is spliced from 2 exons.